AUUGAACGCUGGCGGCAUGCCUUACACAUGCAAGUCGAACGGCAGCACGGACUUCGGUCUGGUGGCGAGUGGCGAACGGGUGAGUAAUAUAUCGGAACAUACCUUGUAGUGGGGGAUAACUAUCCGAAAGGAUAGCUAAUACCGCAUACGCUCUAAGGAGGAAAGUGGGGGAUCGCAAGACCUCAUGCUAUAAGAGUGGCCGAUAUCUGAUUAGCCAGUUGGUGGGGUAAUGGCCCACCAAGCCGACGGUCCUUAGCUGGUCUGAGAGGAUGAUAAGCCACACUGGGACUGAGACGCGGCCCAGAAUCCUACGUGAGGCAGCAGUGGGGAAUAUUGGACAAUGGGCGAAAGCCUGAUCCAGCCAUUCCGCGUGGAGGAUGAAGGCCCUCGGGUUGUAAACUGCUUUUGUACAGAACGAAAAGGUUUCUACUAAUACUAGGAGCUCAUGACGGUACUGUAAGAAUAAGCACCGGCUAACUACGUGCCAGCAGCCGCGGUAA
This 500-nucleotide ribosomal RNA is filed under the name uncultured bacterium. Its description in RNAcentral is "partial 16S ribosomal RNA". It matches the Rfam family "Bacterial small subunit ribosomal RNA", at positions 30 to 523 of the family's 1533-position model. The record is from RNAcentral.